This 214-nucleotide long non-coding RNA is filed under the name Elaeis guineensis (African oil palm). RNAcentral describes it as "long non-coding RNA (EGUI_LNC043395)". The record is from RNAcentral. Lineage: Eukaryota; Viridiplantae; Streptophyta; Magnoliopsida; Arecales; Arecaceae.
AUCUUAUUGGAGACCUUUCUUGGAGUGUGGAGAUCUGAAACCAACAGCAAUUCACAAAAGAAGGGGCAUCCAAAACGUUUGGAGCUGUUUAGAAGCUUGGGCAGCAGCAAUUUGAGGCUCAUAAGGACUCCUAGGCGGCUAAGGUUUUGGAUACCUCUAUGGAGGUGGUGCCUAGGAUUUUUUUUCAAGAGAGGUGGCGGCCACCAGAAAGGGG